CAGUAGCCGCGGUAAUACGAAGGGUGCAAGCGUUAAUCGGAAUUACUGGGCGUAAAGCGUGCGUAGGCGGUUUGUUAAGUCUGUUGUGAAAUCCCCGGGCUCAACCUGGGAAUGGCGGUGGAUACUGGCUCGCUAGAGUGUGUCAGAGGAUGGUGGAAUUCCCGGUGUAGCGGUGAAAUGCGUAGAGAUCGGGAGGAACACCGAUGGCGAAGGCAAUCCCCUGGGCCUGCACUGACGCUCAUGCACGAAAGCGUGGGGAGCAAACAGGAUUAGAUACACCCGUAGUCCCUGUCUCUUAUAC
Molecule: ribosomal RNA, 301 nt
Filed under: uncultured bacterium
Lineage: Bacteria
Description: partial 16S ribosomal RNA
Rfam family: Bacterial small subunit ribosomal RNA
Source: RNAcentral